GCCUGGGUGGCUCAGUUGGUUGAGCAUCUGACUUCAGCUCAGGUCAUGAUCUCACAGUUUGUGAGUUUGAGCCCCACGUCGGGCU
This 85-nucleotide transfer RNA is filed under the name Felis catus (domestic cat). It matches the Rfam family "tRNA". Rfam says of the family: Transfer RNA (tRNA) molecules are approximately 80 nucleotides in length. Their secondary structure includes four short double-helical elements and three loops (D, anti-codon, and T loops). Further hydrogen bonds mediate the characteristic L-shaped molecular structure. tRNAs have two regions of fundamental functional importance: the anti-codon, which is responsible for specific mRNA codon recognition, and the 3' end, to which the tRNAs corresponding amino acid is attached (by aminoacyl-tRNA synthetases). tRNAs cope with the degeneracy of the genetic code in two manners: having more than one tRNA (with a specific anti-codon) for a particular amino acid; and 'wobble' base-pairing, i.e. permitting non-standard base-pairing at the 3rd anti-codon position. Lineage: Eukaryota; Metazoa; Chordata; Mammalia; Carnivora; Felidae. The record is from Rfam by way of RNAcentral.